ACAGACAUUUAUCUACCUGUGUAACCAAAAUAGCUAAAUCGCUACUGGACAGCCAGCAUGGACGAGUCUUUGAAGGACUACGCAUACUGCAAGGUUCUGGGCGAAUGGCCCCGGUACUUUCAGUUGGCUGAGGUGGAGCAGAAAGUGGCUUGUGAAGUGGAGAGACUUAAAAAAAUAAUGUCCCUCGACACUUCAGAACAAACAUCACAGCUGG
Trichomycterus rosablanca is the source of this 214-nucleotide long non-coding RNA. RefSeq lists it as uncharacterized. The record is from RefSeq and is a predicted model, not a curated record. The transcript is spliced from 3 exons. NCBI's taxonomy places the organism in Eukaryota, Metazoa, Chordata, Actinopteri, Siluriformes, Trichomycteridae.